This 231-nucleotide long non-coding RNA is filed under the name Eucalyptus grandis. RNAcentral describes it as "long non-coding RNA (EGRA_LNC006568)". Lineage: Eukaryota; Viridiplantae; Streptophyta; Magnoliopsida; Myrtales; Myrtaceae. The record is from RNAcentral.
GACCCCGCCAAGCUGCGCGAGCGCUUGGAGAGGAAGACCCAGAAGAAGUUCGAGCUCGUCUCUCACUCCGCUUCUCCCGCACCGCCGGCGCAGCCCAAGAAGGAGGGCGGCGGCGGCGAGAAGAAAGCGGAGAGCAAGAAAGCCGAUGAGGGCAAGAAAGCCGAUGCCGAUGAGGGCAAGAAAGCCGACGAGGGCAAGAAGAAGAAGGUGGAAGACGAGAAGCCCAAAGAG